RNAcentral lists this long non-coding RNA (3098 nucleotides) under Sus scrofa (pig). RNAcentral describes it as "lncRNA (ENSSSCG00045011345.1)". Lineage: Eukaryota; Metazoa; Chordata; Mammalia; Artiodactyla; Suidae. The record is from RNAcentral.
GUCCCUAAGGGUAUACACACGUUAUGUACACACACACACACAAAUGGUAUAUAAAAAUAUACACAAAUAAUAUGCACAAAUAGUAUAGUUUAUCUCUGCAAUAAGAAUCACAUUUAUUUUCAUGUUUGACAGAGUGGAUUAUAAUGGUUAUAAUAGCUAACUUUUUUAUUAGUGUGCUAAUUUGUACAUAAUAAGUGCAUAUUUUGUGUGCAUUAUAUCAUUUAUUCCCCAUAGUCACCUUCGAAGUAAGUACAAUUUUUAUUCCUGUUGCAUAGGUGAGAAAACAUAUUGAGGUGAACUAACUCAACAAAGGUUAUAUGACUAGUCAGUUUUAAACUAGAUUUAAUAUCAGUCCUUGACUUCUUAACUACUAUGUGUUACUAACUUGGAAGAUGACUUUAAAAUAUGGUUGACCCUCAACCAGCAUGGUGGUUUGGGCCACUGACCCUCCCUGCAGUCAAAAAGCCACCUGUAAUUUAUAAUCAGCCCUCCAUAUCUGUGGUUCCUCCAUACCCAUAGGUCUACAUCUGCAGAUUCAACCAACCGUGGAUCAUGUAGUACUAUAGUCUUUGCUGUUGCAAAAAUCUGCAUUUAAGUGGAUCCAUGUAGUUCAAACCUGUGUCCUGAUUCAACUAUAUAUCCGAAGUCUUUAUAUUUAAAACAGUAUUUUUUGAAAAGCUGUAGGCAGGCAGCUGUAGCUCCGAUUUGACCCCUAGCUUGAGAACUUCCAUAUGCCAUGGUUCAGCUCUAAAAAGCAAAAAAAAAAAACAAAAAAAAAACAACAAAAAAACUACCUCUAGCUUUCUCUCCUUUAGUCCAUAUUCUAUCUUUUGCUGAAGUUAUUUCCCAAACAUAAAUCUAGUUAUGUCAUGACCUUGAUUAAAAACCUUAAGGGGUGCCUUUUCAUUUUGGCUUGUAUAAAAUAUUCAGUCUGGCACAUGGGCCUUUUAUCUUUACUCUUUUACUUCAACUUGGACCUCCAGCCUCAUCUCUCAUUACUCUCUCAAGACCCUUAUAUAUUGUGUUGAAGCUCAUCCAACUGCUUCCUCUUCAAGAUUGUAUUGUACUUCUUCAGGUCUUGCCUUUACACAAGUGCUAUCUUGUAUAUAAUGCCUCUUGCCUUGCCUUUUCAUCGCCCCCACAACCUGAAAGAACCUGGUACAAGUCCUGAUUCAGGUGUAACUUUCGAUCAUAUCAUCCUAAUCCUCCUCAAGCAGAAUUAAUUUGCUCCAUCUUAGUUAAUGGCACAUACAUCUAUCUUUUAUCAUCAUAUAAGGUGAUUAUCUCUGCUUUUAGUGUCUAUCUACCCUCAAGGUUAUGAAGUGCUUGCCUUGUUUGUGUUUUCAAAUCUAGCCCAAGCCAUAGUAGAUGCACAUCAAAGGUAUAUUGUGGUCAUUCAGAAUAUAGGCUUGGCAGAGGCAAGCCUGGGUUGAAAUAAGGGCUUUGCAACCAAAAGGAAUGGUAUGGAGAAAUGUGUGGAGAAAGGGAAAGCAUUGAGAAGGAAGGAACAUGGGCAGUGGCAAGUCUGGAUAUUUUUCACAGCCUGGUUGGCCACUGUUAGGGUAAGGUAAUACCUCAAAAUCUACUGAAAACCCAACUGGGAGGCAUAGAAAUUCGAUAAGCCAAUAUUUUUACUAAAUAACUUGAUAUAUAUGUGGCUUUUUGCUAUACAAGUACUAGGAGUAUGAAGAUGAGGAAGAAAAGGACUCUGCCUUUGAAAACAUUCAAAGUGAACAGGGAAGAUAGACAUGUAAGUAAAUAAAUAUAAUAUCAUCUAUGAAUAUACAUUAAUAAAUUAAUUGUGAGGAAUAGUAACCACUUACGAUGUGAAUCUCUCCAGGCAGAAAUCCUCCAGUUUAAAGGGAUGCCCUAGCAAAGUUUUAAAGUAUGGAUUGGAAUUCUACAGAUGGAUAAGUUGGUAAGAGCUUGAUAGAUUGAGAACAGCAUGUACUAAGGCAUGAGGAACAAAAGCAGCAAAAGUAGGAAAACCCUUGAUUGUAAGAUUUCAUGCAUAUGCUUAUAUAUUUUAGGAAGCCUUACAAAGCAGCCUUCACUACGAUACCGUAGAUAACACCUAACUUAAAUAUUUAAAUACGCUCUCUUGAAACAAUCCUAUUACAUCAAUUUAUUUGUUAUCCUUUCCCUUUGAAGUAUAAAAUGCAUAGGAGCAUAAACUUUGGAGGUCAAACUUUGAGUUCAAAUUCUGAAAUACUUAGUAUCUCUAAAAAUCACUUUACCCUUUUAUAAAAGGUGGUUAUUAACUCUACCUACUUCACAGGGUUUUUAGGAAGAUUCAGAGAGAAUGUGUGCCAAGUUGUUGGCACAGUGCCUGGUCCAUAAGAAAGUCUUGGUAGGACACCAUAAAUGCUAACUGUAUUGUGGCACCUGAUAAGCCUUUAAAAAAGUCAUUUAUUUAAGAAGUUAUUUAUUGAUUGCUUACUAUUUAUUAGGCGCUGGAAUUACAAAGACAAGUAAGGCAGAACCUCUGUUCUUGAAGAAUUUAGAAUUUAGUGAGUACUGUGCAUUGCAAUGUACUACAUUUUGAGAAUCAACAAUUAACAACCUAGAAAAUGCUUUGGCAGGGGUGGGGGCAGUAUAAGCAAAAAAUAACCGAGAGAAGAGGCACCCAAAUCUCUUUUGGGGCAUUAUGAAAGUAUUUAUUAGGAAGACUGACUGGAUGAAGAACAGUUUGCUGGUUUGGUGUUGGAGGAUAGAGAGGAGGGAAGCUUUUUUGGGGGAAAAAGGAAGAACAUAUCCAAGAGGAAGGCUAAGGUAACUUAACUCAAUCAGAGGAAGACAAAUAAUAGAAAAACCUCUAAAAGAAAAAAGGGGAAUCCUUGUGGCUCAGCAGUAAUGAACCUGACUAGAAUCCAUGAGGACGUGUGUUUGACCCCUGGUCUCGCUAAGUGGGUUAAGGAUUCAGCAUUGGUGGCCAUGAGCUGUGGUGUAGGUUGCAGACUGGCUUGUAUCCUGUGUUGCUGUGGCUGUGGUAUUGGCCAGUGGCUACAGCUCCCAUCGACCCCUAGCAUGGGAACCUCCAUAUGCUGUGGGUGCAGCCCUAAAAAGACAAAAAAAAAAAAAAAAAAAAAAAAAAAAAA